This 269-nucleotide ribosomal RNA is filed under the name uncultured bacterium. RNAcentral's name for it is "partial 16S ribosomal RNA". It matches the Rfam family "Bacterial small subunit ribosomal RNA", at positions 524 to 794 of the family's 1533-position model. The record is from RNAcentral.
UACGGAGGAUCCAAGCGUUAUCCGGAAUCAUUGGGUUUAAAGGGUCCGUAGGCGGUUUGUUAAGUCAGUGGUGAAAGCCCAUCGCUCAACGGUGGAACGGCCAUUGAUACUGUUAAACUUGAAUUAUUAGGAAGUAACUAGAAUAUGUAGUGUAGCGGUGAAAUGCUUAGAGAUUACAUGGAAUACCAAUUGCGAAGGCAGGUUACUACUAAUGGAUUGACGCUGAUGGACGAAAGCGUGGGUAGCGAACAGGAUUAGAUACCCCGAGU